GAUGAAGAACGUAGCGAAAUGCGAUAAGUAGUGUGAAUUGCAGAAUUCAGUGAAUCAUCGAAUCUUUGAACGCACAUUGCGCCCCUUGGUAUUCCAUGGGGCAUGCCUGUUCGAGCGUCAUUUGUACCUUCAAGCCUUGCUUGGUGUUGGGUGUUUGUCUCGCCUCUGCGCGUAGACUCGCCUCAAAACAAUUGGCAGCCGGCGUAUUGAUUUCGGAGCGCAGUACAUCUCGCGCUUUGCACUCAGAACGACGACGUCCAAAAGUACAUUUUUACACUCUUGACCUCGGAUCAGGUAGGGAUACCCGCUGAACUUAAGCAUAUCAAUAAGCGGAGGA
Molecule: unclassified non-coding RNA, 337 nt
Filed under: soil metagenome
Description: partial contains 5.8S ribosomal RNA, internal transcribed spacer 2, and large subunit ribosomal RNA
Rfam family: 5.8S ribosomal RNA (bases 1-120)
Source: RNAcentral